This 71-nucleotide transfer RNA is filed under the name Alteromonas australica. RNAcentral describes it as "tRNA-Met". The stretch from base 4 to 60 matches the Rfam family "tRNA", at positions 9 to 63 of the family's 71-position model. From Rfam's summary of the family: Transfer RNA (tRNA) molecules are approximately 80 nucleotides in length. Their secondary structure includes four short double-helical elements and three loops (D, anti-codon, and T loops). Further hydrogen bonds mediate the characteristic L-shaped molecular structure. tRNAs have two regions of fundamental functional importance: the anti-codon, which is responsible for specific mRNA codon recognition, and the 3' end, to which the tRNAs corresponding amino acid is attached (by aminoacyl-tRNA synthetases). tRNAs cope with the degeneracy of the genetic code in two manners: having more than one tRNA (with a specific anti-codon) for a particular amino acid; and 'wobble' base-pairing, i.e. permitting non-standard base-pairing at the 3rd anti-codon position. The record is from RNAcentral. Lineage: Bacteria; Pseudomonadati; Pseudomonadota; Gammaproteobacteria; Alteromonadales; Alteromonadaceae.
CGCAGAAAACCGCCAGUUUCGUCAGGCUCAUAACCUGAAGGUCGCAGGUUCAAAUCCUGCCCCCGCAACCA